This 438-nucleotide ribosomal RNA is filed under the name Sciomesa sp. SCTAG8185. RNAcentral's name for it is "partial 16S large subunit ribosomal RNA". Lineage: Eukaryota; Metazoa; Arthropoda; Insecta; Lepidoptera; Noctuidae. The record is from RNAcentral.
UUUAAUAAUUGAAGGGCUGCAGUAUAUUGACUGUACAAAGGUAGCAUAAUCAUUAGUCAUUUAAUUGGUGACUUGUAUGAAAGAUUGGAUGAAAUAUAAACUGUCUUUUAGUUAAAUAUAGAAUUUAAUUUUUAAAUUAAAAAGUUUAAAUAAAUUAAAAAGACGAGAAGACCCUAUAGAGUUUUAUAAUUAAGUUAAUUAAGAUUAUUUAUUAAAUUAAAAUUAAAAUUAGGUUAAUUAUUAUAUUGGGGUGAUAGAAAAAUAUGAUUAACUUUUUUUUAAAAAAAAAAACAUUUAUAAGUGAUUAGAUGAUCCAGUAUUAUUGAUUAUAAGAAAAAAUUACCUUAGGGAUAACAGCGUAAUUUUUUUUUUUAGUUCAUAUAAUAAAAAGAGUUUGCGACCUCGAUGUUGGAUUAAGAUAAAAUUUAAAUGCAGAAG